Molecule: transfer RNA, 88 nt
Filed under: Candidatus Culexmicrobium thermophilum
Lineage: Archaea; Thermoproteati; Candidatus Culexarchaeota; Candidatus Culexarchaeia; Candidatus Culexarchaeles; Candidatus Culexmicrobiaceae
Also listed under: 2 other names
Description: tRNA-Leu
Rfam family: tRNA
About the family: Transfer RNA (tRNA) molecules are approximately 80 nucleotides in length. Their secondary structure includes four short double-helical elements and three loops (D, anti-codon, and T loops). Further hydrogen bonds mediate the characteristic L-shaped molecular structure. tRNAs have two regions of fundamental functional importance: the anti-codon, which is responsible for specific mRNA codon recognition, and the 3' end, to which the tRNAs corresponding amino acid is attached (by aminoacyl-tRNA synthetases). tRNAs cope with the degeneracy of the genetic code in two manners: having more than one tRNA (with a specific anti-codon) for a particular amino acid; and 'wobble' base-pairing, i.e. permitting non-standard base-pairing at the 3rd anti-codon position.
Source: RNAcentral
GCGGGGGUGGCCGAGUCAGGUCAAAGGCGCAGGGCUUAGGACCCUGUGGCGUAGGCCUGCGUGGGUUCGAAUCCCACCCCCCGCACCA